UACGAAGGGGGCUAGCGUUGCUCGGAAUCACUGGGCGUAAAGCGCACGUAGGCGGAUCUUUAAGUCAGGGGUGAAAUCCUGGAGCUCAACUCCAGAACUGCCUUUGAUACUGGGGAUCUCGAGUCCGGGAGAGGUGAGUGGAACUCCGAGUGUAGAGGUGAAAUUCGUAGAUAUUCGGAAGAACACCAGUGGCGAAGGCGGUUCUCUGGGCAUUACCUGACGCUGAGGAGCGAAAGUGUGGGGAGCGAACAGG
RNAcentral lists this ribosomal RNA (253 nucleotides) under uncultured bacterium. RNAcentral describes it as "partial 16S ribosomal RNA". It matches the Rfam family "Bacterial small subunit ribosomal RNA", at positions 524 to 776 of the family's 1533-position model. The record is from RNAcentral.